Molecule: ribosomal RNA, 446 nt
Filed under: uncultured bacterium
Lineage: Bacteria
Description: bacterial SSU rRNA
Rfam family: Bacterial small subunit ribosomal RNA
Source: RNAcentral
UGGGGAAUUUUGGACAAUGGGCGAAAGCCUGAUCCAGCCAUGCCGCGUGAGUGAUGAAGGCCUUAGGGUUGUAAAGCUCUUUUGCCGGGGACGAUAAUGACGGUACCCGCAGAAUAAGCCCCGGCUAACUUCGUGCCAGCAGCCGCGGUAAUACGAAGGGGGCUAGCGUUGUUCGGAAUUACUGGGCGUAAAGCGCACGUAGGCGGACUUUCAAGUCAGGGGUGAAAUCCCGGGGCUCAACCUCGGAACGGUCAGAUGAUACUGCUUUGCUAGAGUGCAGAAGGGGCAAUCGGAAUUCUUGGUGUAGCGGUGAAAUGCGUAGAUAUCAAGAGGAACACCUGAGGUGAAGACGGGUUGCUGGGCUGACACUGACGCUGAGGCGCGAAAGCCAGGGGAGCAAACGGGAUUAGAUACCCUUAGUCCCUGAGCGGGCUGGCAAGGCGCAU